GUGGGGAAUUUUGGGCAAUGGGCGAAAGCCUGACCCAGCAACGUCGCGUGAAUGAUGAAAUCUUUCGGGAUGUAAAAUUCAUAAGUAGGGAAAGAAUAGAAGGCUUAGGCUUUCGAUGACGGUACCUUAUUUAAGCCCCGGCUAACUCCGUGCCAGCAGCCGCGGUAAUACGGGGGGGGCAAGCGUUGUUCGGAAUUAUUGGGCGUAAAGGGCGUGUAGGUGGUUUAGAAAGUCAGAUGUGAAAUCUUAGAGCUUAACUCUGAGCGGUCAUUUGAUACUUCUAUACUAGAGUGCAGAAGGGGUAGUUAGAAUUCCUGGUGUAGCGGUGAAAUGCGUAGAUAUCAGGAAGAAUAUCGGUGGCGAAGGCGAACUACUGGGCUGACACUGACACUGAGGCGCGAAAGCUAGGGGAGCAAACGGGAUUAGAUACCCCGGUAGUCC
Molecule: ribosomal RNA, 441 nt
Filed under: uncultured bacterium
Lineage: Bacteria
Description: bacterial SSU rRNA
Rfam family: Bacterial small subunit ribosomal RNA
Source: RNAcentral